This is a long non-coding RNA of Fukomys damarensis (Damara mole-rat), 463 nucleotides long. RefSeq lists it as uncharacterized. NCBI's taxonomy places the organism in Eukaryota, Metazoa, Chordata, Mammalia, Rodentia, Bathyergidae. The transcript is spliced from 4 exons. The record is from RefSeq and is a predicted model, not a curated record.
CUCUGUCAAGUGCCCUUAGUUCAACUGAUAGGCCAAAUGAUGACCAUUUCACCACUAAUUUAUAGGUCUAAAUGGCAUAAAUAGGUCCUUUCGAAAGUAAUAAUGAUUGCAGAAGAGAAAGCUAUGCUCCAAUGUUAUCGUCUGGAUCCAAAAUGUACCCCCAAAAGGCUCACUUGUUCUAAGUGAGUGACUUUCUUCUGUCAUGCCCAAGCCUGGAAGCAGUGGAGGCAGUUAACAACCAUGGACUGAAACCUCUGAAACAAUGAGAAAUAUGCAAUGCUGGACUCUGCUGUGGCUGACUGAGGCCCUACUGGAAGAUAAGAUCAGUGAAGGAAAAGCAGUGAAAAGUACAUAAAACUAAGGAACUAGAAGAACCGUUUAUAUAAAUAAUGAAUCUUUUUGGGGACACUUUUUUCUCUUGUACCAUUCUUUCUAGAGCCUGGAACAAUUAAAAUUAAGCUUU